UUAAAUAGGGACCUGUGUGCGGUAUCCUGACCGUGCUAAGGUAGCAUAAUAAUUUGCUCUUUUAUUGGGGGCUUGUAUGAAAGGAUAAAUGGGAUGAAAGCUGUCUUUUUUGUUUGUAUAAAAAUUGAUUUCUAGGUGCAGAGGCCUGGAUUUAGAUGGAGGACAAGAAGACCCUAUUGAGCUUUAUUCAGUGAGAUUUUUUUUGUGGAAGUUGGGUUUGGUUGGGGCGAUAGAGGAAUAUUCAGAACUUCCUUUUUAGGUUUGGCUGUCUUGCCUUUUGGUUAGCCAAUUUUAAAAUUGAUUAAAGAAAUAAGCUACCAUAGGGAUAACAGGCUAAUUUUCUUUGAGAGUCCAUAUUGACAAGAAAGUUUGGCACCUCGAUGUUGGCUUAGGGCGUCCUAAAUAGUGCAGAAGCUAUAAAUGGUGGGUUUGUUCAACCCUUUAAGCCCUACGUGAUCUGAGUUCAGACCGGAAGGUUCGUUUGUUCAACGAUUAAAGUCCGUACGUGAUCUGAGUUCAGACCGG
Molecule: ribosomal RNA, 525 nt
Filed under: Opheliidae sp. 2 LMG-2016
Lineage: Eukaryota; Metazoa; Annelida; Polychaeta; Opheliidae
Description: partial 16S ribosomal RNA
Rfam family: Bacterial large subunit ribosomal RNA
Source: RNAcentral